GCCCUUAUAGCUCAGUGGUAGAAGCGCUGCACUUGUAAUGCAGAGGUCCGCGGUUCAAUCCCGCGUGGGGGCA
This 73-nucleotide transfer RNA is filed under the name Aspergillus bertholletiae. It matches the Rfam family "tRNA". Rfam says of the family: Transfer RNA (tRNA) molecules are approximately 80 nucleotides in length. Their secondary structure includes four short double-helical elements and three loops (D, anti-codon, and T loops). The record is from Rfam by way of RNAcentral. Lineage: Eukaryota; Fungi; Ascomycota; Eurotiomycetes; Eurotiales; Aspergillaceae.